GUUAAGUCGACCGCCUGGGGAGUACGGCCGCAAGGUUAAAACUCAAAUGAAUUGACGGGGGCCCGCACAAGCGGUGGAGCAUGUGGUUUAAUUCGAUGCAACGCGAAGAACCUUACCUACUCUUGACAUCCAGAGAACUUAGCAGAGAUGCUUUGGUGCCUUCGGGAACUCUGAGACAGGUGCUGCAUGGCUGUCGUCAGCUCGUGUUGUGAAAUGUUGGGUUAAGUCCCGCAACGAGCGCAACCCUUAUCCUUUGUUGCCAGCGGUCCGGCCGGGAACUCAAAGGAGACUGCCAGUGAUAAACUGGAGGAAGGUGGGGAUGACGUCAAGUCAUCAUGGCCCUUACGAGUAGGGCUACACACGUGCUACAAUGGCGCAUACAAAGAGAAGCGACCUCGCGAGAGCAAGCGGACCUCAUAAAGUGCGUCGUAGUCCGGAUUGGAGUCUGCAACUCGACUCCAUGAAGUCGGAAUCGCUAGUAAUCGUGGAUCAGAAUGCCACGGUGAAUACGUUCCCGGGCCUUGUACACACCGCCCGUCACACCAUGGGAGUGGGUUGCAAAAGAAGUAGGUAGCUUAACCUUCGGGAGGGCGCUUACCACUUUGUGAUUCAUGACUGGGGUGAAGUCGUAACAAGGUAACCGUAGGGGAACCUGCGGUUG
RNAcentral lists this ribosomal RNA (661 nucleotides) under Enterobacter cloacae. Its description in RNAcentral is "bacterial SSU rRNA". It matches the Rfam family "Bacterial small subunit ribosomal RNA", at positions 859 to 1520 of the family's 1533-position model. RNAcentral also lists the same sequence under 1 other name. Lineage: Bacteria; Pseudomonadati; Pseudomonadota; Gammaproteobacteria; Enterobacterales; Enterobacteriaceae. The record is from RNAcentral.